AACGCUGGCGGCGUGCCUAACACAUGCAAGUCGAGCGAGUAAAUCUCCUUCGGGAGUGAAGCUAGCGGCGGACGGGUGAGUAACACGUGGGCAACCUGCCUCAUAGAGGGGAAUAGCCUUCCGAAAGGAAGAUUAAUACCGCAUAAGAUUGUAGCUUCGCAUGAAGUAGCAAUUAAAGGAGCAAUCCGCUAUGAGAUGGGCCCGCGGCGCAUUAGCUAGUUGGUGAGGUAACGGCUCACCAAGGCGACGAUGCGUAGCCGACCUGAGAGGGUGAUCGGCCACAUUGGGACUGAGACACGGCCCAGACUCCUACGGGAGGCAGCAGUGGGGAAUAUUGCACAAUGGGGAAACCCUGAUGCAGCAACGCCGCGUGAGUGAUGACGGCCUUCGGGUUGUAAAGCUCUGUCUUCAGGGACGAUAAUGACGGUACCUGAGGAGGAAGCCACGGCUAACUACGUG
Molecule: ribosomal RNA, 459 nt
Filed under: uncultured bacterium
Lineage: Bacteria
Description: bacterial SSU rRNA
Rfam family: Bacterial small subunit ribosomal RNA
Source: RNAcentral